Molecule: long non-coding RNA, 1584 nt
Organism: Equus caballus (horse)
Lineage: Eukaryota; Metazoa; Chordata; Mammalia; Perissodactyla; Equidae
Source: Ensembl
GGGUACCGUGGAUUCACGUGAGAGGAGGGUCCGGCAGAGGGACAGAGAGCGGAGAGGUGGAGGGGGCCUCCUAGCCAUUGAGAAGAAGUCGGCUUUUGGCCCCAGUGAGGUGAGGCCGAGGGAGAAGUCUGCGGCGAGGACGGGAGCGGGUGGAGGGCGGACGCGGUGAGAGCGGGUGGACGCUGCUGCGAUAGCCCAGCGAGAGGCCGGCGGCAGCCUGGAGGUGGCGAGGCUGCUUGGGUUGGGCAGAUAUUCCAGAGGCAGGGCCCACGGGAUCUCCCGGUGGAGCAGGCUAGCAGCGGAAGAGGAAUAGGAGCUGGGCAUAACCUCGGCCUUUGAUCUGAGCACCUGGGAGCAUGGCCCUGAGGCCGCCCGCGAUGGGGAAGGGAACAGGGAGCGCCCUGGGGUGGGGCGCCCAGGAAUUCUGUCCGGGGCACGGUCGGCUGCGUUUUCGUGAGGAGGCCAGAAGAGCUGUCGCGGCGGCAAGACCCCAGCGUGGGCCCCGUGGGCAUCCCGCCGAGGUGCUGGGUGAGGCCACCGGGGAGGGAGGACGGCCAAGUUCCGGGCCACCAAGGACGAGCAGCCGGAGGUGGGGACGGGCCUUGACGAGAUGAGCUCUGGGGGAGAAGCCUGACCCGAGAGGGUCUGGGGAGGGAGUGGACAGGGAGGGCGCGCAGACACCUCCGGGGUUAGCUGGGGAGGAACAAAGAAAUGGUGGUGCCUCGGAGGUGAUGCGCGAUCAGAGGGUUUUGGGGUUGGGGUUUCUAGUUUGCAGGAAUGACACGUGUACAAGCCGGCGGGCGGCCGCUGCGAACCGGGUUCUGCGGUGAGCGGGGCGCCGGGGCUCGGCCUGGGGCCACCUCCGCCUGGGGACGUCGUGGAGAAGCCGGGCUCCAGGGCCCCAGCCCCGGCCGCCAGGCGCCAUCGCAGGCGGGGCAGGGAGCCGGGGGUCCCCGGCAGCGGCGCGCGGGCGUGGGCGGCCGCACCCACUCCGGCCCGGGCCGCACGGCCGCCCGCACUUGCCCUCUGGCGGCGGAAGCGCGCAGCGCGUGUCGAGCAGGGAACCUGGACCCGUUCAGCUUCCGUUCCCAGUGCAAGUGUCUUUUGCUGCUGACCGACCUCAGACCCGGCCCUCCUGGAGAUCUCCUCUCCCUCGGGAUCCCUGUGGCCUCCUACCCAGUUCCCACGUAGCCUGACCCACCAGGACCAGGUUGGGAGCUUUAUGAAUUUUAACACGUUAGGAUAGCCGUCACUACAACAGGAUACAAAAUGUUUCCAUCGCCCCAAAAAACUCCCUCCUGCUGGGGCUUUAUAGGCACAGCCCCCCGUCUGAGCCCCGGCAGCCACCGCUCUGCCCUCCGUCACCACAGCUCUACCUUUUGGAAUGUCGUACAAAUGGAACCAGACUGUGCGACCUUGGGGACCAGCUUCUUUCACUCAGCGCGAUGUCUUCGAGAUUCAUCUGGGUGGUUGUGUGAUCAAUAGUUUGUGUCUUUCCGCAACUCCCCAGUGUUUCCUGGUGUAGAUGGCCACAGUCUGUCUGCCCAUUCAUCCAUGAAAACAUAUUUGGGUUCUUUCCAGCUC